This 401-nucleotide ribosomal RNA is filed under the name Anopheles varuna. RNAcentral's name for it is "eukaryotic LSU rRNA". The stretch from base 50 to 401 matches the Rfam family "Eukaryotic large subunit ribosomal RNA", at positions 672 to 964 of the family's 3401-position model. The record is from RNAcentral. Lineage: Eukaryota; Metazoa; Arthropoda; Insecta; Diptera; Culicidae.
GACCCGUCUUGAAACACGGAUUGAUGCUUUUUUGAUCAAAGGCGCAGCAAGUCUAUCUUGCGCGCAGCCCAAUGGGUAGCGGGGCGGCUUGCCGUCCAGCAAACUGGUAACACCCACAGGCGAAGACAAAUCGAGUUGCGGGAUUACGGGUUCGGCCGAUGGCGCAAGCCUUCGUCGGGCCCCUCCAUCCCAGGGUGUCCCGGUACGGGUGCUUGCACCCAGCGGACAUCCCCGGAGUGCGUAUGAUGUGACCCGAAAGAUGGUGAACUAUGCCUGAUCAGGUCGAAGUCAGGGGAAACCCUGAUGGAGGACCGAAGCAAUUCUGACGUGCAAAUCGAUUGUCAGAGUUGGGCAUAGGGGCGAAAGACCAAUCGAACCAUCUAGUAGCUGGUUCCUUCCGA